GCAGUUAUAAUCUCUCUGGAACUAGAAUUUAAACAAGACAAGAUCAUCUGUGCCUGGUGAGAGCCCUCAGCAGACAGAGGUCAAGAAUGAGCCUUCUUAGUUAGUACUCUGAUUUCCUAAGCCAAGACCAAAGGAUGAAGAACCUCAGAUGGCUGAGAACAGGAUAUAAGUUACAGGAACAUAUGCCUUUUUCAAGAUAUUUAGAAAUUUCACUUCUCCUGAUUUUAGAAUCCUGCUUUUGCAACUCAAAGGAAAAGCUUUCAGCUUGCAUCUAAAACUAUGUUAAAGGAGACAUUUCUCUUUAAUUCCUGCAGUUACCUUAGAUGUGAGACUUUAAUCAGGAGCCUGCAAAGUCAGUGCAGUAACUUUCAUAUGGCAGAAGAGUCCUCAAUGCUCAGAAAGGUAAUAACAGAUCUUGUAAUGCCCACACUUACUAUCAGUGGUGUGAAAGAACUUGGCUGGGGAGCUGUAGCAUGGAUGAAGUGUCCUGAGAUGUCUGAUUGCAAUAAUGGCUCCAGGUGACAGUUAACAGCUGGUACAAGUUAAAGAAAUGUUCAUGCUGCUGAAUCAUCUGCUUGCAUCACAGUGGUGUAGCAGAGCCUGCUCUUUCAGUUGCAUUAGGUCUUACUGCUGUUAAUUAAUUUUUUCUCACUUGAGCAAGAUAACAGACUACUGUGUUCCUGAGUCUGCAGACAGUUUCAUUCACUUGAUCACAGGGAUGAACUUUUGCAUUAAAAACAGUAUUAAUAAUAAAUUGACAGGUGACAUCUGUUUCA
Molecule: long non-coding RNA, 776 nt
Filed under: Coturnix japonica (Japanese quail)
Lineage: Eukaryota; Metazoa; Chordata; Aves; Galliformes; Phasianidae
Description: lncRNA (ENSCJPG00005011022.1)
Source: RNAcentral